This 501-nucleotide ribosomal RNA is filed under the name uncultured bacterium. Its description in RNAcentral is "partial 16S ribosomal RNA". It matches the Rfam family "Bacterial small subunit ribosomal RNA", at positions 30 to 523 of the family's 1533-position model. The record is from RNAcentral.
AUUGAACGCUGGCGGCAGGCUUAACACAUGCAAGUCGAGCGGGGGAAGGUAGCUUGCUACCGGACCUAGCGGCGGACGGGUGAGUAAUGCUUAGGAAUCUGCCUAUUAGUGGGGGACAACAUCUCGAAAGGGAUGCUAAUACCGCAUACGUCCUACGGGAGAAAGCAGGGGAUCUUCGGACCUUGCGCUAAUAGAUGAGCCUAAGUCGGAUUAGCUAGUUGGUGGGGUAAAGGCCUACCAAGGCGACGAUCUGUAGCGGGUCUGAGAGGAGGGGCCGCAACACUGGGACUGAGACACGGCCCAGACUCCUACGGGAGGCAGCAGUAGGGAAUAUUGGACAAUGGGGGGAACCCUGAUCCAGCCAUGCCGCGUGUGUGAAGAAGGCCUUAUGGUUGUAAAGCACUUUAAGCGAGGAGGAGGCUACUUUAGUUAAUACCUAGAGAUAGUGGACGUUACUCGCAGAAUAAGCACCGGCUAACUCUGUGCCAGCCGCCGCAGUAA